ACGGCUCAGUAACACGUGGAUAACCUGCCCAAGGGUCCGGGAUAACCCCGGGAAACCGGGGAUAAUACCGGAUGGAUCACUUAUGCUGGAAUGCUUGGUGGUCGAAAGGUGACGCCCUUGGAUGGGUCUGCGGCGGAUUAGGUUGACGCCGGUGUAACGUACCGGCGUGCCUGUAAUCCGUACGGGUUGUGGGAGCAAGAGCCCGGAGAUGGAUUCUGAGACACGAAUCCAGGCCCUACGGGGCGCAGCAGGCGCGAAAACUCUACAAUGCAGGCAACUGCGAUAGGGGGACAUCGAGUGGCAUCCACCUUGGGUGCCUGUCCCACCGUCUAAAAAACGGUGGUUAGCAAGGGCCGGGCAAGACCGGUGCCAGCCGCCGCGGUAAUACCGGCGGCUCGAGUGGUGGCCGAUAUUAUUGAGUCUAAAGGGUCCGUAGCCGGCUUUGCAAGUCCCCUGGGAAAUCCAGCGGCUUAACCGUUGGGCUUUCAUGGGAUACUACAUUGCUUGGGACUGGGAGAGGUAGGAGGUACUCGGGGGGUAGGGGUGAAAUCCUGUAAUCCCCCGGGGACCACCGGUGGCGAAGGCGUCCUACCAGAACAGGUCCGACGGUGAGGGACGAAAGCUAGGGGCACGAACCGGAUUAGAUACCCGGGUAGUCCUAGCCGUAAACGAUGCCCGCUAGGUGUCACGGCGGUCGUGAAUCGCCGUGGUGCCGUAGGGAAGCCGCGAAGCGGGCCACUUGGGAAGUACGGCCGCAAGGCUGAAACUUAAAGGAAUUGGCGGGGGAG
This 788-nucleotide ribosomal RNA is filed under the name uncultured archaeon. Its description in RNAcentral is "bacterial SSU rRNA". It matches the Rfam family "Archaeal small subunit ribosomal RNA", at positions 85 to 876 of the family's 1478-position model. The record is from RNAcentral.